AAUAUCGGCUAAUGGGGGCAACCCUGAUCCAGCCAUGCCGCGUGUGUGAAGAACGUCGUCGGAUUGUAAAGCACUUUAAGUUGGGAUGAAUUGCUUUAGGUUAAUACCCUGCCGUCUUGACGAUACCAACACAACAAGCAUCGGCUAACCCUGUUCCAUCAGCCGCGGUAAUACAGAGGGUGCAAGCGUUAAUCGGAAUUGCGGGGCGUAAAGCGCGAGUAGGUAGUUCAGUAAGAUGGGUGUGAAAUCCCCGGGGUUAACCUGGGAACUGCUUUCAUAACUGCUGAGCUAGAGUACGGUAGAGGGUAGUGGAAUUUCCUGUGUAGCGGUGAAAUGCGUAGAUAUAGGAAGGAACACCAGUGGCGAAGGCGACUACCUGGACUGAUACUGACACUGAGGUGCGAAAGCGUGGGGAGCAAACA
Molecule: ribosomal RNA, 422 nt
Filed under: uncultured bacterium
Lineage: Bacteria
Description: partial 16S ribosomal RNA
Rfam family: Bacterial small subunit ribosomal RNA
Source: RNAcentral